UAUUUCUAGAGUUUUUUUAGAGUCUUUUCAUGUACUCUAUGGAGAGGGACAACAAUGGAGAUGAGGAGACAUUUUAGAGCAAAAAGGUAAGGAAAAGAAGUUAAAGGACAAAUUCACUUUUAGAUUCAGUCAAGAGUGUCGAUUGACACCAGUUACGGCCCAGAGAAGUUCAUGACGCUUUUAAGUCUGAAGAAUUGGAAAUUUGCCCCAAAAGACUUCCCUAUUUUCAUUAUUAGUCCUUGAAUGCUUUUUAGGUCAUAUAUAUCAAGUUCUUUCAGAGACAUAAGCUAUUCAUCCCCUGCUUUCAGAGAUUGAUUAAGAGAUUUCAAUAACAGUGAAGAGAU
This 344-nucleotide small RNA is filed under the name Arabidopsis thaliana (thale cress). RNAcentral's name for it is "ATSL161730". The record is from RNAcentral. Lineage: Eukaryota; Viridiplantae; Streptophyta; Magnoliopsida; Brassicales; Brassicaceae.